RNAcentral lists this ribosomal RNA (501 nucleotides) under uncultured bacterium. RNAcentral's name for it is "bacterial SSU rRNA". It matches the Rfam family "Bacterial small subunit ribosomal RNA", at positions 897 to 1397 of the family's 1533-position model. The record is from RNAcentral.
AAACUCAAAUGAAUUGACGGGGGCCCGCACAAGCGGAGGAACAUGUGGUUUAAUUCGAUGAUACGCGAGGAACCUUACCCGGGCUCGAACGGCUGGUGAAGAGAUCCAGAGAUGGUGACGUCCUUCGGGACACCAGUCGAGGUGCUGCAUGGUUGUCGUCAGCUCGUGCCGUGAGGUGUCGGCUCAAGUGCCAUAACGAGCGCAACCCUUGUCGUCAGUUACCAUCAAGUUGUGUUGGGGACUCUGGCGAGACUGCCACCGCAAGGUGAGAGGAAGGGGGGGAUGACGUCAAAUCAGCACGGCCCUUACGUCCGGGGCGACACACGUGUUACAAUGGGGGUUACAGAGGGGCACUACCUGGUGACAGGAUGGGAAUCUCGAAAAGCCCUCUCAGUCCGGAUCGGAGUCUGCAACUCGACUCCGUGAAGCUGGAUUCGCUAGUAAUCGCGCAUCAGCCAUGGCGCGGUGAAUACGUUCCCGGGCCUUGUACACACCGCCCGU